This 750-nucleotide ribosomal RNA is filed under the name uncultured Variovorax sp. Its description in RNAcentral is "bacterial SSU rRNA". It matches the Rfam family "Bacterial small subunit ribosomal RNA", at positions 86 to 832 of the family's 1533-position model. Lineage: Bacteria; Pseudomonadati; Pseudomonadota; Betaproteobacteria; Burkholderiales; Comamonadaceae. The record is from RNAcentral.
UGGCGGCGAGUGGCGAACGGGUGAGUAAUACAUCGGAACGUGCCCAAUCGUGGGGGAUAACGCAGCGAAAGCUGUGCUAAUACCGCAUACGAUCUACGGAUGAAAGCAGGGGACCGCAAGGCCUUGCGCGAAUGGAGCGGCCGAUGGCAGAUUAGGUAGUUGGUGGGGUAAAGGCUCACCAAGCCUUCGAUCUGUAGCUGGUCUGAGAGGACGACCAGCCACACUGGGACUGAGACACGGCCCAGACUCCUACGGGAGGCAGCAGUGGGGAAUUUUGGACAAUGGGCGCAAGCCUGAUCCAGCAAUGCCGCGUGCAGGAUGAAGGCCUUCGGGUUGUAAACUGCUUUUGUACGGAACGAAAAGGCUCUUUCUAAUAAAGAGGGCUCAUGACGGUACCGUAAGAAUAAGCACCGGCUAACUACGUGCCAGCAGCCGCGGUAAUACGUAGGGUGCGAGCGUUAAUCGGAAUUACUGGGCGUAAAGCGUGCGCAGGCGGUGAUGUAAGACAGUUGUGAAAUCCCCGGGCUCAACCUGGGAACUGCAUCUGUGACUGCAUCGCUGGAGUGCGGCAGAGGGGGAUGGAAUUCCGCGUGUAGCAGUGAAAUGCGUAGAUAUGCGGAGGAACACCGAUGGCGAAGGCAAUCCCCUGGGCCUGCACUGACGCUCAUGCACGAAAGCGUGGGGAGCAAACAGGAUUAGAUACCCUGGUAGUCCACGCCCUAAACGAUGUCAACUGGUUGUUGGGUCUUC